CGUUGAAACAUCGGUACCAGUACGAUCACCGAAGUUAAGCAAUGUCGAGCCUGAUCAGUACGUAGAGAGUGCUCACUUGGGAAUACCACGUGCUGUAUG
Acanthosepion pharaonis is the source of this 99-nucleotide non-coding RNA. The record is from the annotation of a GenBank genome assembly. NCBI's taxonomy places the organism in Eukaryota, Metazoa, Mollusca, Cephalopoda, Sepiida, Sepiidae.